UACGAAGGGGGCUAGCGUUGCUCGGAAUCACUGGGCGUAAAGCGCACGUAGGCGGAUUGUUAAGUCAGGGGUGAAAUCCUGGAGCUCAACUCCAGAACUGCCUUUGAUACUGGCGAUCUCGAGUCCGGGAGAGGUGAGUGGAACUGCGAGUGUAGAGGUGAAAUUCGUAGAUAUUCGCAAGAACACCAGUGGCGAAGGCGGCCACCUGGACGACAACUGACGCUGAGACGCGAAAGCGUGGGUAGCAAACAGG
This 253-nucleotide ribosomal RNA is filed under the name uncultured bacterium. RNAcentral's name for it is "partial 16S ribosomal RNA". It matches the Rfam family "Bacterial small subunit ribosomal RNA", at positions 524 to 776 of the family's 1533-position model. The record is from RNAcentral.